GUUGGCCAAAAAGUUUGUUUGGGUUUUUCCGUGACAUCUUACGAAAAACUUCAUCUUACGCAUAACCCAAACAAACUUUUUGGCCAACCCA
RNAcentral lists this microRNA precursor (91 nucleotides) under Ovis aries (sheep). Its description in RNAcentral is "miRNA (ENSOARG00000023395.1)". Lineage: Eukaryota; Metazoa; Chordata; Mammalia; Artiodactyla; Bovidae. The record is from RNAcentral.